UACAGAGGGAUGCUACCGGGCGACCGGAUGCGGAUCUCGAAAGCCUGUCCCAGUUCGGACUGGAGUCUGCAACCCGACUCCACGAAGUUGGAUUCGCUAGUAGUCGCGCAUCAGCCAUGGCGCGGUGAAUACGUUCCCGGGCCUUGUACACACCGCCCGUCAAGCCAUGGGAGCCGGGGGCGCCUGAAGUCCGGGACCGCGAGGACCGGCCUAGGGCGAAACUGGUAACUGGGGCUAAGUCGUAACAAGGUAUC
This 254-nucleotide ribosomal RNA is filed under the name uncultured bacterium. RNAcentral describes it as "partial 16S ribosomal RNA". It matches the Rfam family "Bacterial small subunit ribosomal RNA", at positions 1238 to 1500 of the family's 1533-position model. The record is from RNAcentral.